CUGGGUUGCUAAUACCCAGUAAGCAUUGGAAUGUCACAGUGACAUCACAUAAUAUCACUGCGGAGAUGUGUAAUAUCACUUUGUGAUGUCUCUGAGAUUAACUGGUGAUAUAAAAUGUACCCAUCAAAAUGGUCUCACAGACAUCACUCAGAAGGGCCCAGUGACAUUUUUUAAUGUCACAGAAUGUCACAGAUAUGUCACCAGGAAAUGUCUCUGCAAUAUUGAUGUAAAUAUUUCUAAAAUAUUCCCAUCGAAUGUCGUUGAAAUACCAAUUAUUGGAGUUCAUUUGAAUUGUGAAAAUAAUAAGAUGUAUUUUCUGCAAAAAUAUUCUCUUCUCUCAACUCCUGAAGUUUGGAGUUGAGAUUUGAGGCUGUUGACUCCGCCACAUUCGGCAAAGUCUCCAGCGCCCAUCAUUAAUGAGGGUAAAGUCGCAUGAGGCAGUAUCUUUCUUAUAUACUAAUUGUCAACAUACUUUAUCUGUGAGAAGUAAAAAUGGUAUAGUUUGAGGCAGAAAUGUCACUGUAAUAUCUUUUAGUGAUAUCAUCAAAGUUAUAUUUUUGAGACAUUGCAGCCAAAUAUUUCUUUUUCCAUUCCAAAGCAAUGUCGCAAAAAUGUCACAGAAAUAUUACUUUGUAAUGUCCUAUACACAUCACAAAAUUACAUCACUGUGAUAUUAAUGUCACAGCAUGCUUACUGGGAACUCGUACCGAAUCUUGAAGCGAAAGCCACCCAAAGUAUAUUUUUUCGAAAUCAAUUUCAUUGUAAGGUACUUGAAUAAUAGUUGGCUGUUGAAAUUACAAAACACAACUAUUUGUGAAAUUUAUCAGUUGAGUUUAUCGACAGAUGAAAAAAAAAUACAUUAUUUGAGAUUUUGGGAAAAUACAUUUAUAUAUGUAGUACAUCAACGUUAACUUGGUUCGCAAUUUACGAGAAUAACAAGCUCAAGAUGAAUAUUUUCGAAUUGACAGGAUUCUGUGUAUGCGUUUGCUGUCUUGGAGUGGUACUAGUGAUAGCGAUAAUAGUUAUAAUUAUUGUAAACUUGGCAAAAUAGGUUUCUAUGAAGCCGACGAAUGAACCUCCAAAAGUAUAUUUUCGGACAACAGCUGAUGAAAGUAACCACGAUAUUUUUUCGUAAUCAAUUCCAUUGUAAGGUACUUGAAUAAUAGUCGGCUGUUGAGAAUGUAUAGAAAUAUUACCAAUUACAAAUACAACUAUUUGUCAAAUUUA
Molecule: long non-coding RNA, 1227 nt
Organism: Planococcus citri (citrus mealybug)
Lineage: Eukaryota; Metazoa; Arthropoda; Insecta; Hemiptera; Pseudococcidae
Exons: 2
Source: RefSeq, a predicted model, not a curated record